ACAUAGGGUGCAAGCGUUGUCCGGAAUUAUUGGGCGUAAAGAGCUCGUAGGUGGUUCGUCACGUCGGAUGUGAAAAUCUGGGGCUUAACCCCAGACCUGCAUUCGAUACGGGCGAGCUAGAGUGUGGUAGGGGAGACUGGAAUUCCUGGUGUAGCGGUGGAAUGCGCAGAUAUCAGGAGGAACACCAAUGGCGAAGGCAGGUCUCUGGGCCAUUACUGACACUGAGGAGCGAAAGCGUGGGGAGCGAACAGG
Molecule: ribosomal RNA, 252 nt
Filed under: uncultured bacterium
Lineage: Bacteria
Description: partial 16S ribosomal RNA
Rfam family: Bacterial small subunit ribosomal RNA
Source: RNAcentral